UUGGAGCUUCCGCAUCCAUUGUCUGGUUCCUCAGCAGCACUGAGAUGAAGAUACCGAUCCUAGGACAGAUCAACUCAGAAUGUCAAAGAUAAUGAUGUCGGAACACCAAUUUAGGGUUUGCUUAAGGACCCAGGUUACUCCAAGCAUUUGGCCUCAUAUAUUUGACCACUAGUGCUAACAAAAGUCAUUAGUGCAGUGGUAACUAGUCCCUUGUAUUUACCAUCCGAGAUUCUAGGGUGGAUGUCAGCUAUGGCCAUGGUGUCCAGGCUUUUACAUAAUAAGCAAGAUGUCAUCAGGCUUUCGGACAAACCUGGUCCUGAUGAUUCAUGGUCUACAUCAUCUAGCCAAGUCUUAGAUUUUGGUACCAAGGUAAAGUACCCUCCUGUGAAACUCACUUUCCUGCUCUGAAUUGAGUUUUCUCCCUUAUUUACUCUGAAAAUUUAAGAGGAGCCUGUGUAUCAUCAUUUUAUGUGUGUCAUGGAAAGUUAGCAAGAACAAACCACUUUACAGAUACAUGACGCGUUGAAUGUCUUGUUUUGUUUUGUUGUACUUUGGUAAAUCCUACAGGUGGAGGCUGAUAAAAGAAUGGGCUGGAAAACAUAUAAUGACCGUCAUAUUAUGUUGGGAAAAGCUUUCCCAUCAUGGAGGCAAUAUGACAUUUGCUUAAGGAUAAGGAUUCUUACUGUGAUAGUAACAUGACUGAUAAUACUCAGGCCUAAAUGAAACCUGAUUGGGUCCAAGUAUCUAUUGUAGGGUGCCCCCCCCCCCGGCCCCGGGCAAGUUUUAUUUUGGUGACAUACAGGAUUUCCUUUGGCUCUAUCCUUUGUUCUACAUUUAGACGAAAAUAAUAUUAUAUAUAUAUAUAUAUAUAUA
This 873-nucleotide long non-coding RNA is filed under the name Felis catus (domestic cat). RNAcentral's name for it is "lncRNA (ENSFCAG00000045908.2)". The record is from RNAcentral. Lineage: Eukaryota; Metazoa; Chordata; Mammalia; Carnivora; Felidae.